GCUGACGACCGGCGCACGGGUGCGUAACGCGUAUAGAAUCUACCUUAUACUGGGGGAUAGCCUUUGGAAACGAAGAUUAAUACCCCAUAGUAUGUUUGAAUGGCAUCAUUUGGACAUUAAAGUUUUGGCGGUAUAAGAUGACUAUGCGUUCUAUUAGUUAGUUGGUAAGGUAACGGCUUACCAAGACUACGAUAGAUAGGGGUCCUGAGAGGGAGAUCCCCCACACUGGUACUGAGACACGGACCAGACUCCUACGGGAGGCAGCAGUGAGGAAUAUUGGACAAUGGAGGCAACUCUGAUCCAGCCAUGCCGCGUGUAGGAAGACUGCCCUAUGGGUUGUAAACUACUUUUAUAUGGGAAGAAUAAGGUCUACGUGUAGACUGAUGACGGUACCAUAAGAAUAAGCACCGGCUAACUCCGUGCCAGCAGCCGCGGUAAUACGGAGGGUGCAAGCGUUAUCCGGAAUCAUUGGGUUUAAAGGGUCCGUAGGCGGGCAUAUAAGUCAGUGGUGAAAGUCUGUGGCUCAACCAUAGAAUUGCCAUUGAUACUGUAUGUCUUGAAUUAUUGUGAAGUGGUUAGAAUAUGUAGUGUAGCGGUGAAAUGCUUAGAGAUUACAUAGAAUACCGAUUGCGAAGGCAGAUCACUAACAAUAUAUUGACGCUGAUGGACGAAAGCGUAGGUAGCGAACAGGAUUAGAUACCCUGGUAGUCUACGCCGUAAACGAUGGAUACUAGUUGUUUGGCCUUCGGGCUGAGUGACUAAGCGAAAGUGAUAAGUAUCCCACCUGGGGGAGUACGUUCGCAAGAAUGAAACUCAAAGGAAUUGACGGGGGCCCGCACAAGCGGUGGAGCAUGUGGGUUUAAUUCGAUGAUACGCGAGGAACCUUACCAGGGCUUAAAUGUAGUCUGACAGCUCUAGAGAUAGAGUUUUCUUCGGACAGAUUACAAGGUGCUGCAUGGUUGUCGUCAGCUCGUGCCGUGAGGUGUCAGGUUAAGUCCUAUAACGAGCGCAACCCCUGUGGUUAGUUGCCAGCGAGUAAUGUCGGGAACUCUAGCCAGACUGCCGGUGCAAACCGUGAGGAAGGUGGGGAUGACGUCAAAUCAUCACGGCCCUUACGUCCUGGGCCACACACGUGCUACAAUGGUAGGGACAGAGAGCAGCCACUUAGCGAUAAGGAGCGAAUCUAUAAACCCUAUCUCAGUUCGGAUUGGAGUCUGCAACUCGACUCCAUGAAGCUGGAAUCGCUAGUAAUCGGAUAUCAGCCAUGA
This 1268-nucleotide ribosomal RNA is filed under the name uncultured bacterium. RNAcentral's name for it is "bacterial SSU rRNA". It matches the Rfam family "Bacterial small subunit ribosomal RNA", at positions 87 to 1357 of the family's 1533-position model. The record is from RNAcentral.